This 404-nucleotide ribosomal RNA is filed under the name uncultured Defluviicoccus sp. RNAcentral describes it as "bacterial SSU rRNA". It matches the Rfam family "Bacterial small subunit ribosomal RNA", at positions 355 to 776 of the family's 1533-position model. The record is from RNAcentral. Lineage: Bacteria; Pseudomonadati; Pseudomonadota; Alphaproteobacteria; Rhodospirillales; Rhodospirillaceae.
UGGGGAAUCUUAGACAAUGGGGGAAACCCUGAUCUAGCCAUGCCGCGUGGACGAUGAAGGCCUUAGGGUUGUAAAGUCCUUUCAGCUGGGAAGAUAAUGACGGUACCAGCAGAAGAAGCCCCGGCUAACUCCGUGCCAGCAGCCGCGGUAAUACGGAGGGGGCUAGCGUUGUUCGGAAUUACUGGGCGUAAAGCGCACGUAGGCGGACUGAAAAGUUGGAGGUGAAAUCCCAGGGCUCAACCUUGGAACUGCCUUCAAAACUAUCAGUCUGGAGUUCGAGAGAGGUGAGUGGAAUUCCGAGUGUAGAGGUGAAAUUCGUAGAUAUUCGGAGGAACACCAGUGGCGAAGGCGGCUCACUGGCUCGAUACUGACGCUGAGGUGCGAAAGCGUGGGGAGCAAACAGG